RNAcentral lists this long non-coding RNA (1881 nucleotides) under Ananas comosus (pineapple). RNAcentral describes it as "long non-coding RNA (ACOM_LNC000728)". Lineage: Eukaryota; Viridiplantae; Streptophyta; Magnoliopsida; Poales; Bromeliaceae. The record is from RNAcentral.
AUUAGUUAUCAAAAUUAAACUAUGUUGAUCUCGUGUUAUAAAAAAUGAACUAUUGUGAAAAAUACAUAUGAUUACUAUGAAAAUAUGACGAAGUAUUGAAAGGAAAGCACAUAUAUUGGUGUUGUAAUAUAUGGAAACCUUAGGUUGCGAUGUAAACUUUGAUCUAGAGGAUCGAAGUGAAGCUGGAGCUAGUUGGGCAUCUUCCCCGAGUGAUUUUGGACGUGUGAGAAUGAAAUCCGGAGAUAAAUGAGUGUUUCGGNAUAAUUAAACUGGUGAUGAUCAUGGAUCUUAGAAGUGGAUUCGGACUCGAGCCACUGAGUCGGAAUCGGGGUCUUAGGGUCAUAAAUUACAAGCACACACACGUCAUUGGUUUGAUCGUCUUCAACUUCUUGAUCCGAUCCGGAGCUUCAACUUGAUCCGAUCCAUAUCAACACCUUGAUCCGACGGCCAUCAAGUAUUCGUCUCUAUCCGGGCCUUGCGAACUUUUAAGCUUGCAACCGAUCAACCAAUGACGUGCAACCAUACAUUAUACAACCCAACAAUACAAAUGAAAUGAAAAUUAAUUACAUCUGAUAACUUUUAUCUCUAACCUAUUGAGACACGCAGGUCUCCAAAUAAUCCGGCUUGUGCACGCAGGCACAACUAUAGCCAUCUCUAAUACAAAUUCCUUAAUUUAAAUAAAUUUAAAAUUACAGGAUUCUGCAUACACAUCAUACAUCACAUGUCGAAACAAAAAUAAAUAGGUCGCUAUCCAUGAUCAUCACCGAUAUGCAUCUCAUACAUCACACAUAUAAUAAUAAAUUUUGGGUAUUCUAAUUAACCGUUAACCGAUGAAUCGAAAAAUAAUAGUGACUAAAUCACUAAUAACAAUCAAUCUUAUUGAUCUUUAUAAUUUUGAUCAAAAAUUUAAUCUUCAAAAACAACUUGAUCUCAUCAAGAUUUAAAUUUGAUCUAAUCAAAUUAAAUCUCUUUCUUUUAGUUUAAAAAAAAAAAAUUUGCUUUCCGUAUGGAUGCUACAGUAGCGUCCGUACGGACUGCUACAGUAAAAUCCGUACGGGGCGCUACAGUAGCAUUCGUACGGUGCUACAGUUUUUUUUUUUUUUUUUUUUGAAAACGAGAAACCGUCGAUUAAAUUGUUCGAUCAAUUUGAUAUUUCGAAUUAUCCAAACAACGAUCUAUAAAUCGUUCGAUCGGCGAAAAACGAUUUAGAAUACCUAAAUUCAUAAUUUUAAUCUUAAGAACAUGAGGAUGGCUCUGAUACCACUGUUAGAAAAUUGCGUACGGUAAAACGCAGCGGAAAAAGAAAUCAAACAAAUUUGAUUUUGAAAAACUCUCGAGAUCCAAUCUCAAAAACCACGCAAUUAGGAUCCCUCAUGUUCUUUAAAAUUAAAGAAGAAAAGUAAGAUCGAAUCUUUACCUUUUUUGCGGAUAAAUCUUCGCCUCAAUUUGAUGAUCGUGGAAUCGGGUUCUCUUGAAGCCGCACACGCGUCCGGCCUCUAUAGGUAUCCACACGAGGUUCUUGAUUUGAUCGAUGUCCUCACCGGGGUGCUAGCUCCCUUGCAAAAGGACGUCUUUCUUGCUAGAAGAUGGAAGAGAGAAGAGAGGAUAGAUGACGGCUUGGGUUUUCUAAAAACUCCCGUAUAUUAUAUAUAGGAAUAUAAUCCUAUUCCUAAUAAUAUAAUGUCAAUUAAGGAUAAGUAUAAAUCUAGAUUUAAAUUUAUCUUUUCCUUAAUUGGUUAGAUCGAUCAAAUCCUAAUUUGAUUCGACUUGAAUUUUAUAUUAAUUUGAUCUUAUCAAAUUAAUAAUGCAACAUUUGCACAUAAGUCCUCUUAUAAUUUACUAACUAUUAGUAAGUCCUCUCUUGUAACAUUUACACUUUAA